RNAcentral lists this ribosomal RNA (251 nucleotides) under uncultured bacterium. Its description in RNAcentral is "partial 16S ribosomal RNA". It matches the Rfam family "Bacterial small subunit ribosomal RNA", at positions 524 to 773 of the family's 1533-position model. The record is from RNAcentral.
UACGAAGGGGGCUAGCGUUGCUCGGAAUCACUGGGCGUAAAGGGUGCGUAGGCGGGUCUUUAAGUCAGGGGUGAAAUCCUGGAGCUCAACUCCAGAACUGCCUUCGAUACUGGGAGUCUCGAGUCCGAGAGAGGUGAGUGGAACUGCGAGUGUAGAGGUGAAAUUCGUAGAUAUUCGCAAGAACACCAGUGGCGAAGGCGGCUCACUGGCUCGGUACGUGACGCUGAGGUGGCGAAAGCGUGGGAGCCAAC